GGAAGGAUCAUUACCGAGUGCGGGCCCCGCGCGGGCCCAACCUCCCACCCUUGUCUUCUGAACCAUGUUGCUUCGGCGGGCCCGCCUGUCCAGGCCGCCGGGGGGCCCCUGUGCCCCCGGGCCCGCGCCCGCCGGAGACCCCAACACGAACGCUGUCUGAAUGCUUGCAGUCUGAGUCGAUUGUACACAAUCAGUCAAAACUUUCAACAAUGGAUCUCUUGGUUCCGGCAUCGAUGAAGAACGCAGCGAAAUGCGAUAAUUAAUGUGAAUUGCAGAAUUCAGUGAAUCAUCGAGUCUUUGAACGCACAUUGCACCCCCUGGUAUUCCGGGGGGUAUGCCUGUCCGAGCGUCAUUGCUGCCCUCAAGCCCGGCUUGUGUGUUGGGCCGUCGUCCCCUCGCCCCGGGGGGACGGGCCCGAAAGGCAGCGGCGGCACCGCGUCCGGUCCUCGAGCGUAUGGGGCUCUGUCACCCGCUCUGUAGGCACCGGCCGGCGCCGGCCGACCCCCAACCAUUUUUUUCUCAGGUUGACCUCGGAUCAGGUAGGGAUACCCGCUGAACUUAAGCAUAUCAAUAAGCGGAGGAAAAGAAACCAACCGGGAUUGCCCCAGUAACGGCGAGUGAAGCGGCAAGAGCUCAAAUUUGAAAGCUGGCCCCUCCGGGGUCCGCGUUGUAAUUUGCAGAGGAUGCUUCGGGUGCGGCCCCUGUCUAAGUGCCCUGGAACGGGCCAUCGGAGAGGGUGAGAAUCCCGUCUGGGAUGGGGUGUCCGCGCCCGUGUGAAGCUCCUUCGACGAGUCGAGUUGUUUGGGAAUGCAGCUCUAAAUGGGUGGUAAAUUUCAUCUAAAGCUAAAUACCGGCCGGAGACCGAUAGCGCACAAGUAGAGUGAUCGAAAGAUGAAAAGCACUUUGAAAAGAGAGUUAAAUAGCACGUGAAAUUGUUGAAAGGGAAGCGCUGGCGACCAGACUCGCCCGCGGGGUUCAGCCGGGAUUCGUCCCGGUGUACUUCCCCGCGGGCGGGCCAGCGUCGGUUUGGGCGGCCGUUUAAAGGCCCCGGGAAUGUAGCGCCCUCCGGGGCGCCUUAUAGCCCGGGGUGCAAUGCGGCCAGCCCGGACCGAGGAACGCGCUUCGGCACGGACGCUGGCAUAAUGGUCGUCAACGACCCGUCUUGAAACACGGACCAAGGAGUCUAACAUCUACGCGAGUGUUCGGGUGUCAAACCCGUGCGCGCAGUGAAAGCGAACGGAGGUGGGAGCCCCCCCGAGGGGCGCACCAUCGACCGAUCCUGAUGUCUUCGGAUGGAUUUGAGUAGGAGCGUAGCUGUGGGGACCCGAAAGAUGGUGAACUAUGCCUGAAUAGGGCGAAGCCAGAGGAAACUCUGGUGGAGGCUCGCAGCGGUUCUGACGUGCAAAUCGAUCGUCAAAUUUGGGUAUAGGGGCGAAAGACUAAUCGAACCAUCUGGUAGCUGGUUCCUGC
Molecule: unclassified non-coding RNA, 1470 nt
Filed under: uncultured fungus
Lineage: Eukaryota; Fungi
Description: sequence contains 18S rRNA gene, ITS1, 5.8S rRNA gene, ITS2, 28S rRNA gene
Rfam family: Eukaryotic large subunit ribosomal RNA (bases 526-1470)
Source: RNAcentral